Molecule: ribosomal RNA, 253 nt
Filed under: uncultured bacterium
Lineage: Bacteria
Description: partial 16S ribosomal RNA
Rfam family: Bacterial small subunit ribosomal RNA
Source: RNAcentral
UACGUAGGGUGCUAGCGUUGUCCGGAUUUAUUGGGCGUAAAGGGCUCGUAGGCGGUCGGGUAAGUCUGAUGUGAAAUCUCACAGCUUAACUGUGAAACUGCAUUGGAUACUAUCCGGCUCGAGGAAUGGAGGGGAGACUGGAAUACUUGGUGUAGCAGUGAAAUGCGUAGAUAUCAAGUGGAACACCAGUGGCGAAGGCGAGUCUCUGGACAUUUCCUGACGCUGAGGCACGAAAGCCAGGGGAGCAAACGGG